UUGCCCCCACCAACGCAACCCGACCGAUCGAUCUCCAACUUUGACGGAGCCAAAAAAAAAAAGGCGCAGAGGCCAACCGCCGCCCACGAAUCGCCGGCGCGCCGCGGUACGACUUUGGUUCUGUUCAAGAUGAAAAUCCACGUCAAGAGGAUGAUGACCCCGCCCACCUGUACGCUCGAUGUUGAGAGCUCCGACACCAUAGGCAGUGUGAAGGCACAGAUACGGGAUGUUCCAUUGCACAUGCAGCUCCUCAUCUUCGCCAAUCAACUGCUGCAGGAUGACGGCACCCUCGCCGACUAUAACAUCCAAGACGGGGACUCCAUCCACUUCGUUAUCGACUUAAAGUAGUUUUUCAGUAUUUCAUGUUAAUUUGGUCGCUUCGACUUGUCCAGCCCAACGCAAUUACUUGUCCUUUACUUUUUUCAGAGAGAGGAAGAGUUAAUUUGAUCUCGAGUAAUCGUUCAUGUAGUAUCUUGUAUGCUUUGAGCUCGAUCUUGCUAUGCAUAAUUAAUUGCUUACAUGCCGUA
Molecule: long non-coding RNA, 527 nt
Organism: Lolium perenne
Lineage: Eukaryota; Viridiplantae; Streptophyta; Magnoliopsida; Poales; Poaceae
Source: RefSeq, a predicted model, not a curated record